GUUGUAUUUCAUUCUAUUGUUGUAUUUCAUUCUAUUGUCGUAUUUCAUUUGAUUGUAUUAUGUAUUGUAUAUUAAUGCAAUAAAAUCGAUGUAUUCAAGGCGUUGUCCUGUGUAGCAAAAUAAAACAUGGAUUUAAAACAUCACACCAAAAAGCAGCAACAACAACAACAAAUGAAGUGAACAAUAAAUGAAAAUAAUAAUGAUAGGGGACGGUCAGGAGUGAAAAAGUGUGGAAGUCCAAAUCGUUCCUCCAGAAUAGUGUUAGGAGCACGUUUGUAGUGGUGGAUUUUUUUUGGAGAGCAUCCCAUUUCUAUUUCUACUGUAAUUCUGUUCAUAUUUCCAUAUUUCUAUUGAUAUUCCACUGAUAAUUCUGUUUCUAUUUAUACCGUUCAUUUGGUUCAUCUCGCCAUAUCUGAAAUAUUUAUACUCUUGUUAUCACCGGGGAUAAGAGGGAAACACUAUUUCAAUUCUCUGUAUGUCCUGCACAUAUGGCAUUAUUGAUCAUAAAGUUGACUUGACUUGAACACUGAUAAAGUUGAUUCAAGAUGUUGAAGCUUGAAAAAACUGUUGUGAUCAGUGGUCAAUGACCUCCAUCUGGUGGACAAAAAAAACCAUUGCACCCACCUGAUCAAGUCACAAUCCCCAUGAUUCCCACACUCACAAAGCAUUAAAAAGCAGUGAUUUUGAGUGCAAAUCCAAUGGAAAUGCAGUCAGUGGAAGCCAAAGACUAUUGUUAGCCGAAGUCAAGUGUUUUAGUGUUUCAUCUUGGACACUGCC
RNAcentral lists this unclassified non-coding RNA (777 nucleotides) under Hevea brasiliensis (rubber tree). Lineage: Eukaryota; Viridiplantae; Streptophyta; Magnoliopsida; Malpighiales; Euphorbiaceae. The record is from RNAcentral.